RNAcentral lists this ribosomal RNA (322 nucleotides) under uncultured eukaryote. RNAcentral describes it as "partial 18S ribosomal RNA". It matches the Rfam family "Eukaryotic small subunit ribosomal RNA", at positions 1470 to 1796 of the family's 1831-position model. The record is from RNAcentral.
CCCUUAGAUGUUCUGGGCCGCACGCGUGCUACACUGAACGGUUCAAUGGGUAAGGUAGUGCGAAAGCAUGACCUAAUCUCGAAAUCCGUUCGUGCUGGGGAUAGAAGCUUGCAAUUAUCCUUCUUGAACGAGGAAUACCUUGUAAGCGUGAGUCAUCAUCUCACGCUGAAUACGUCCCUGCCCUUUGUACACACCGCCCGUCGCUACUACUGAUUGGAUGUUUAAGCGAGGUUCUCGAACUGCUAGCGACUUAGCUUCGGUGAGGUCGCAGUGUGGGAAGUGAACCUAGCUUUGGUGUCUAGAGGAAGUAAAAGUCGUAACA